This 759-nucleotide long non-coding RNA is filed under the name Felis catus (domestic cat). RNAcentral's name for it is "lncRNA (ENSFCAG00000047510.1)". Lineage: Eukaryota; Metazoa; Chordata; Mammalia; Carnivora; Felidae. The record is from RNAcentral.
GACAGCUGGAGAAAUGUGUUUUCAGAUGUUUCCCAGUGAAAUUCCUGGCGCAUCUCCUGGUGGGAUCUGAGUAGGCAGGGUUGUUUGUAUUGGAGAGGCUACUGAUUGUGCACACACAUGACCCGGGGCUCCAGGGCAGACACUCCCGCUCCAGAUUCUCGGUGAUCCGGGCAGAGAGCUGCUGAUCAAGCAACAGCGGGGGCCGCACACACAAAGCUUCCUGCUGAGUUGCCAUGGUUUGUGUCCCCGUACCCUGAAGGGGCAGUUUUCAGUCCAAGAGGUCGUGCUUAGAACCCGUCAUCAACACUGAGGACUGAGUGGGGUGAAAAUGGGGGUGCUGCCCUAACUUUUAAGGUAAGAAGGAUGCUUCCUUUAUUCCACACUCCAGCCCAAGCAGAUCUGGUUCCUGAGCCGGAGAGCUGCGCGUCUGAGUGCCUAAUGAACAUAUCUAAACCUGAUCUUCCACAUCCCGCCGCUCCGUCAGAAAACAUCUUCCUCGCUUGCACCCACAUGACACCCCACAUCCAGUCACCAAGCUCUGCCGACCUUGCCUCCCGGGCAGAAUGCAAUUCCCGACCUUGGUUGUACGCCCCCUGCUCCUCCUCGGUCCUGGCCGUCAUUUCUCGACUUGGCUUCUUCCAACCCUUCACUGCCUUCCGAUCCAUUGUGCACGCUGCAGCCAGAGCAACAUUUCAAACAAACAAAUCUGAUCAUCUCAUUAAUCCGUCUAAAGUCUGUCAGUGGCUUCCCAUGGCCUAG